RNAcentral lists this ribosomal RNA (468 nucleotides) under uncultured bacterium. RNAcentral's name for it is "partial 16S ribosomal RNA". It matches the Rfam family "Bacterial small subunit ribosomal RNA", at positions 28 to 507 of the family's 1533-position model. The record is from RNAcentral.
GACGAACGCUGGCGGCGUGCUUAACACAUGCAAGUCGAACGGAAAGGCCCUGCUUUUGUGGGGUUCUCGAGUGGCGAACGGGUGAGUAACACGUGAGUAACCUGCCCUUGACUUUGGGAUAACUUCAGGAAACUGGGGCUAAUAUCGGAUAGGAGCUCCUGCUCCAUGGUGGGGGUUGGAAAGUUUCGGCGGUUGGGGAUGGACUCGCGGCUUAUCAGCUUGUUGGUGGGGUAGUGGCUUACCAAGGCUUUGACGGGUAGCCGGCCUGAGAGGGUGACCGGCCACAUUGGGACUGCGGUACGGCCCAGACGCCUACGGGAGGCAGCAGUGGGGAAUAUUGCACAAUGGGCGGAAGCCUGAUGCAGCAACGCCGCGUGCGGGAUGACGGCCUUCGGGUUGAAAACCGCUUUCGCCUGUGACGAAGCGGGAGUGACGGUAAUGGGUAAAGAAGCACCGGCUAACUACGUG